CCCUUAGAUGUUCUGGGCCGCACGCGCGCUACACUGACGAAUGCAACGAGCUUAUAACCUUGGCCGAAAGGUCUGGGUAAUCUCCAAAUUUCGUCGUGAUGGGGAUAGAUUAUUGCAAUUAUUAAUCUUCAACGAGGGAUGCCUAGUAAGCGCAAGUCAUCAGCUUGCGUUGAUUACGUCCCUGCCCUUUGUACACACCGCCCGUCGCUCCUACCGAUUGAAUGGUCCGGUGAAGCGUUCGGACCGUGGCCUUUGGACGGUUCGCCGUCUGUUGGCUGCGGGAAGUUCGUUAAACCUUAUCAUUUAGAGGAAGGAGAAGUCGUAACA
RNAcentral lists this ribosomal RNA (327 nucleotides) under uncultured eukaryote. RNAcentral's name for it is "partial 18S ribosomal RNA". It matches the Rfam family "Eukaryotic small subunit ribosomal RNA", at positions 1470 to 1796 of the family's 1831-position model. The record is from RNAcentral.